CGCAGUACUGCCAACUGUCAGAUACCCAACACACCCUGUGUUGCCUGUCUUCUCGUUGGUAAGAAGAAACGUGUUUUGUGCAGAAUUUUCAGUUCUUCGUUUUCGGUUCAGAAUUUUGUUUGUAAACACGAGUGUGGCGAAAAAAAUUUAGCCAAAUAUAAUUGAAAAAAUAGCUUUAGUGUUUUGCUCUAUACAACACAGUCGUACAAACAUAAAACGGCAGGGAAAACAACAACAACGUUAAGAAAAACAAAAACGACAAAAACAACAUAGGAAUCAGCCAUUAACCAACAGAGCCCGAGCCGUAGCCGUAGCCAUAGCUAGCCAACGAACGACAGAGCCAAAAAAUAAAGUGGAAUAAAUAGAAGAAGGAAGGUGAGCUGCAAACGGAGCAGGAUCGAUCGGAUGUAUUGAAAAGAGAAGUGCGCAAAGCGUGCGGAAAACAUUUCGAAUUUGGAAAAAUCUUUUGAAAACGAAAAAAGUAAAAACCUUGAGUUUUGACUGACCAAAACGACGAAAAAGGUUUUAAUAUUAGCAACAACGGGACAGUGGCCGAAUGUGAAUAGUGUGCAAAACGUGCAAGUGAAAAAUUAGUUAUAUAUUUUUUGUUACAAGAAAAGUAUUUUAGAGAAGACAGUAAUCGUGUAUAAUGAAAAUAGAGCAAUCAUAAUAUAAAAACAAACGCACAGUAACGCAACCAACCGCAUUUGUGGUGCAGCGCUAAAGCAUUUUUUCAUUCCGGAAAGUGAAGAAAAAACAGUAAUAAGAAAAAAGGCGCCGCAUACAAAUGGAAUUCUACCCCCACCAAAAGCAACCACAUACAACUCAGCAAGUGGAUGUCGGUUCUAUAUCCGGCCCGGCAACCAACACAAAUACUACCAAUAGUAACAACAACAGCAACAUUAACAGUGUUCGCAGCACAAACAACACCUCACCCACCUCCAACACAAUAAAUUCAAAAGCAACAACGGUCGGCGUCGACGCUGCCACUGUAGCCAUCGCCAAGGAUAUGCUCCAGUUGCAUCAUGGCAGUGGUACGGUACUGACUAAUAAUAACAAUAACACUAGCAAUAGCAGUAAUAAUAAUAGUAGCUCUGCCAUGGAGGCCAUGAAUACCACAACAUCAUCUAACGCCAACACCAAUUCGGUUGCUGCAGCUGGCAGCAGCAGUACAACCAAUACAGGUGUCGGAGCCAACGUUGGUCCUGCACCAACAACACCGAAUACCAAUCACCCACCUGCCCAUGCCACAGCCACCACCAAUUCGGAUGGUGGUGCAUCUGGCGUUUCAACGGCACCAGAUAACGCGCUCGGUUUUCUGAAAUACGAUCAGGAAUUAUUAUACAUCACCGAGCCAUGUACUAUUAUCGGACGCAACUCAUCUACAUCGCAUGUACAUUUUCACGUGGCGGAGAACAAUUUGGUAUCGCGAAAGCAUUUCCAGGUUCUUUACGAUGGAGUUGCGCACGAUUUUUUCGUACAGUGUCUAAGUAAAAAUGGCAUUUUUGUCGAUGACUUCUUGCAGCGACGCAAUGCCGAUCCACUUCGAUUGCCUAGCAGAUGUUACUUUCGCUUUCCCAGCACCGAGAUUCGCAUACAAUUUGAGAGUUUUGUGCUUGGCACCUUGAGUGCCGGAGCGCUCAACAGCUCGGCUAGCAGCGGCGUAUCAUCCGUACCGUAUCAUAACAAUAGCCAUCAUAACGUCGGUGCCCUACAGAAUAAUAGUGGUAUAGGAGGUGGUGGCAAUAGCGGCCCUGCUCAGUUUAUUAUUUCGCCUGCGCCUCCAGAUGAUCAUCAUCAUCCACAUGCGGCGACUGGUUCUUCAGCGCAUGCGUCAACACAUGGCGCUCAUCACCAUCAACAGCAUGUGUCCUCGAAUACAGUGUCGUCUUCGACUCACCUGCUGCCACAUAUGGACAAUUCGAAUGUUUAUUCGCCACUAAAGAUAUCCAUACCGAAGAAGGAGCAAAAGAGUCCAUAUCUCUCACCAACUGGUACAAUAAGUGCUGCUAAUAGUUGCCCAGCCAGCCCGCGCCAAGGUUUUCAUCAAAAUCAAGCCAAUUACAACAACAAUUUACAAAACCAAGAUUUAUUCCAAACACCAUCAACAGCUAGCUACUACCACAAUGAGAAACCACCAUACAGCUAUGCUCAGUUGAUUGUGCAGGCUAUUUCGGCAGCACCGGAUAAACAAUUGACUCUAUCGGGCAUUUAUUCUUUCAUUGUCAAACAUUAUCCGUACUACCGUAAGGAAACUAAUAAAGGCUGGCAGAAUUCUAUUCGCCAUAAUCUCAGCUUGAAUAGGUAUUUCAUUAAAGUGGCACGGUCUCAAGAUGAGCCCGGUAAAGGUAGUUUUUGGCGCAUCGAUCCCGAUAGUGGCGCCAAAUUGAUUGAUCAUAGCUACAAGAAGCGCCGUCAGCGCAGCAGCCAAAGUUUUCGCCCAUCAUAUGGUAUGCCACGUUCGGCACCAGUCUCACCGAGUCAUAUGGACAAUUCGCGUGAGAGUUCACCGCUACAGGAUUUUGUUUUGCAAUCGGCCCCAGGCUCGCCGGGCAUGUCACUCGAGCAGCGAGCUACCGAUGGUGAUCUUAUGUACAACAACACAACUCAGAAUAUGCACCAAUCGACGGCUAACAAUUCCCACAAUCAAUACAACAGUAGCGGAAGCCCAUACUAUGUUUCAAAUCAAAAUUCAGCUAUAACUGGUGCACAGCAACAACAUCAACAGCAGCAACAGUUACACAAUGAGAGUGGAGUUUUGGUUGGCAGUAGCGGAAAUGGUGUUGGCGCCUUGAUUGCACUCAAGCGCAAUCAUGCCAUGGCAGCUGGCGCACAACAACAGCAACAAGUGCAAACGCUACAUCCUGACAUUAUCUACGAGGAAAUGCCAACUGAUUACAGUGGCAAUAUGGAAUCGGGCGAUGAAUGUGGCAGCAUUGGUGGCGGUAAUAGCGGUGGUUCUAGUGAUGCUGCCAAACGCUCCAAAUACAUUUCCGAUGUACUCUGAUGUGUUGCUGUUGCUGUUUCCGUUUCUUCUAAUGUUUGCAAGUAAUUAACAGAAUUCAACAUAAAACAAAACAAAAUAUUUAAUAUUUAUCUGAUAAACAUUUGCCACCACAAAAUACCGCAUACACGCAUACAUAUAAUACUAGAUAAAACACGCGCUCACAAACAUAUAAUAUUUAUACCUCUACCCCGAAUGUAAAAAAAUGUGUUAUACAUAAAGCCCAAUUCAGAAAUCGGAAUUGUUUGAACCGUCAAACCCGCACUGAGGAAUAUGAAAAAAAAAUCCUUUUCCGUUUAACCUAUUUUUCCUUACAACGGCAAGCUAUCCAUGAAACCUUGUAUCAAGUUUUUAUUAGUAAAUAUGUGUCUACAAGCAGCAAAUAGAGCUUUUAAUAUUUUAUAUGCAUUUUUUUAAGUUUCGAUCAAACUGUCAUCUUUUAACUAAAUUGACUUCAAGUAAUAUAUAAGUACUACAAAGUAUAUUUUAAUAUUUUUCCGAAUUGGGCUAACAAAAAUUACUUAAAGCAGCAGCAGUGAGCCGGCGCGUAGUAAAAGACACAUUGUAACUCAAAACAGAUUGUAAAAAACACAAAGAUGAAGAGAAUUAAGAAGAGAAAACAAAAUCACAAAACUAAAGGAAUCUUGAAAACCAACUAGUAAUGAAACAUUUUUAUUAACACACCAUCGGUAUAUUGAAUUUGACAAAGUAUGUGAACAAGAAAUAAUUGUUUAAUUAUUUUUAUUCUUUCUGAAAUAUGAAUAUACAAACACCCUCUACUACUUUAAUAUUUGUUGUUAAUGAUUCCCGAAAUUGUAUACCUAACAUACUGUUUAGAUGUCAUUGUAUAUCCUGGACGAAUUCAAUAUGCUUGAUGAUGCUAUAUUACAUGAAAAAAGAGGGAAAAAACAAUUUAAUUACUAAAAAGUUGAAAAAUGCAAAAUGCACACAAAAAAAUAAACUGCAAAUUCGAAAAAUUGUAAACAAAUACAAACAUAUGAAAUGACAGUAGUACAUUUUAAAUGGUGAGAAUAAUAAAAAAUUAAAAUGCAAAUAAUAAUACAAAAUUAAUGCUAAAUAAUAAAGCAGCAUAUAUGGCAGGAAGCAUGGAGAUGUGAAUACAAAACAAGAAAAAAAAAUUAAUUAUUGUCGUGUGGCAACUGAAAAGGAAGGAAAAGAUUUAAUUACCUAUCUCUACAUACCUACAAUUAUAUCGAACAUAAAUCUAGAAAAAUAAUUACAACUAAUUACAAAAAUUUAAUUAUAAAUCAAGCAAACAAACAAGAACCCCACAAACAAAUUUAUGAUAAAGAUAAAUGUAUAAUGAUGAUUGCACUUUAUUUCUAUUAUAAUAAAGAAAACUCCAUUUCAAUGUUUGGACAAAAUGUGUAUUGAGAAGAAAUACAAGAAUAUAGAUAAUCUCUGUGUAUUCCUCAUUCUUUCAAAUAUCAACGUAAAAAAUGCUGUUUUAACUUGGUUGCAACGCACCCUAGUGUACGCGUGUAUGACGCUUUGCUGUUCGUCAGCGAGAAUAAGAAGUUGAAAAAAGUUUCUUUUUGUCCAGCAUGCUGUGCAAAUCUCUAAGUGCGUGUGAUUCGUCCUAAACCUGUUAACAAUGUGUUGAAGCAGAAUUAGCGACAAAAGACUUGAGCAAAAUUAGCAAAAGCAUAAAAAAUUUGAUGUUGUGCUUGCAUGUGCGACGCGCUUAAAGUAAAAAAGAAGUAUUCUUGGCUUUAACUUUGAAUAAAAUGAAUAGCAGAAGCGACAGCACACAACGGCUGCAGCACGUUUCGGUUGUUGUAGCUAGCGUUUGGAAAAUAAAAGAACAGAUGGACUUUACAUGCAUAGCAGCAUAAACAUUCUACAUAGAUUUUUGGAUAGUGCUGGUAAUUCCGGUAGCGCAGAAGUGACUUUCAUGGCCGAAAGAGCUGAUCGAGCAAAUUGUGAUUUGGUAUCAAGAUGAAUAGAAUACAAAAUUGUUUUUUCCGAAUUCGCUGCUACGUCAUGCUCCGAGAAUAUACAAGAAGGAGGAAAAGCAAUUACUUCGUUGUGAAGAGAAAAAUUAAGCUAAAGCAAUAGAGAUUGCCAAGUACGAGAACUUAUACAACCACACAUACACCCUUUGUUAUCGAAGCUAGUCGAAAAUCUUCAAAUUACAAUAUUAACAAGCCAUGCACUGAUUUUUUACAAACAAGUGAUGUUUUUUAUUUUAGCUCAUGACUUCAGCUGGUCGUCAAAAUCGCGAAAAAUAAAGUAACGGUUUUCGGAAGAUGCCACCUUUAGUUUCUGUAUACCUUUACUUGGUAUUAUGGCGCUCAUUCGAUGAACACAAUUGUGAAUUUCACUCGCUUGCGCUAAUCACAAUAGAUUAUUGCUAUCAGCUGACACGACAAAUUAAAAAAUUAAAAAAAAUUGCGAUUUCAUCAAAAUAUUAAAAAUAAUAGCCAGAGGUAAAAAACGGUUCAGGCGUGUCCAACCCCUUAGAAUUGAUUUCUACCGAAUUGUAAAAAACUUCCGACUAUCAAAAGAGGCGGGUGUGGACUUGCUAACUACUACAGAAAACCUGCUGCAGUAAUGCACCUGAGCCAAAUCUA
Molecule: RNA transcript, 5598 nt
Organism: Anastrepha ludens (Mexican fruit fly)
Lineage: Eukaryota; Metazoa; Arthropoda; Insecta; Diptera; Tephritidae
Gene: FoxK
Gene name: forkhead box protein K1
Exons: 10
Source: RefSeq, a predicted model, not a curated record